This is a long non-coding RNA of Felis catus (domestic cat), 1734 nucleotides long. RefSeq lists it as uncharacterized. The transcript is spliced from 5 exons. The record is from RefSeq and is a predicted model, not a curated record. NCBI's taxonomy places the organism in Eukaryota, Metazoa, Chordata, Mammalia, Carnivora, Felidae.
GAGAGGGGAGACACAGAAACAUGGUUCCUGUAGCUAAAGAUUGACAGAUCACACUUGUCUUAACCUGAUGUGACAUUGCACCCUGCUGGCCAUCUGUCCAUGGUCCUUGUGUGACUCCUUGCUCCCUUAUGCCUUCCUCAGUGCUCAGUGGUCACAAUACCCUUAGCUCAGAGUCAUCUCUCAAUGUCAGGAACAGGAAGUGUGCUGGGGGAAGGGGGGGUGAGUGUGGAGGAGUUUCAUAUCCCCUAGGGUUCCCAAUGCCCAGUGGAGGGGGCAACUGAAACUGGAGAAAAGCACAAAGCACAAGGAACGUCAGAAACCCCCUGGCCCAGUGGCUGCGCUCUAGUAGGUCCUGAGUUUUUAGGUGAAAGUUUCUAUUCAAGCUGAGACCUUUCCUGCAUCGCAGCACUUCCCAGUUUUUGAUCAUAACAAAAAGAGGCCUAGGAUGCCUGAGGGGAGGAGCAGGCCACAAGUAGGGAGAAACCUGUGUGCCUGCAUUGCAUAUGAACGGGAGCUUCUCACAACCUGCUUUCGACUGCUCCGUGAAUGAGAAAUGAACUUCAGUUGUGAUUUCUACAUCAAGGAUACACAAGUCUCUAAAAAGAAGGAAAAACAAUUAUGUUGUUUGGGGAAGACUGCGGAGAGAAGUUUCUUCCUGAAUAAUCCUGCAGACCCUUUGUAGAUUUCAUGGCAUUAAAGUUUCUGGAACUGGGGGUUCCUUCUCCUCCUAGCAGAUGGUUUCUCCUAGGAGAAUUUUCUUAAUAAGGAACCUACACCUGAAUUUUUGGCAGAGGUUCUGCCUCUGGAAAAUAAGACAGAUGUAAGACUUAUGGACAAGUAAACCCAUCUCUCCUUGAAAAAAAAUUUUUUUUUUGAUAUUUUUAUUUAUUUUUGAGACAGAGAGAAAUAAUGAACUGGGGAGGGGCAGAGAGAGAGGGAGACAGGACCCAAAAUGGGCUCCACACUUUGAGCAGAGAGCCCAAUGCGGGGCUCAAAUUCAAGAGAGAUGAGGUCAUGACCUGAGGUGAAGUCAGACGCUUAGCUGACUGAGCCACCCAGGUGCCCCUAAACCCAUCUCUUAAUUAUACUCAGACCAAAACAACUCCCACAUUUCUAUCUUGAAGACCAUGAAAAACUAAACUUCAUUUUAUUUUACUUGUAUGGUUUAUUUUAUAGCUUCCCAUUUAUUUCUGAUUAAGCAGAAGUUGGGAAAGAAGUAAAGGAAGAAAUGCAGGCUUAGAUCAAUUGUCAGAUACUUUGGUUUCCCCUGUUUGGCUUAGCCUAACUCUGUUAUGAGAAAGCCACAGUUAGGGCUUUCCAUCUAAGUGUUUUCCUAAAGACACUGACUCCAAAACAUUUGUACUUUUUACUCAUAAGUUUUCAGUAUGCUGUGCAUAUCUGGAAUUUGCUUUUACAUCCAUGUAAUUUUUUCUUCUUCAUUUGGGCACAGCUCAUCUGUUAGUGGGCUUCCUGUAGGGUAUGAGGCUCACUGGUCAUGAUCUUGGAGCAAUACUCGGGAUCCUGUAAGUUCCAGGAUAUUUUUUUGUAUUAUCCUUAGAGACAUAAUAAUACUACUAAUAAUAAAUGUAUGUAUACAUAUAUAUAUAUUAGAGAGUGUGUGCAUAAGUGCACAAGAACAAGAAAGGAGUAGAGGGAGAGGGAGAGAAUAUUUUUUUAAGGUUUUUAUUUAUUUCUUUUGAGAGAGAGGAGAGAGUGCAUGUGUAUGGGGGAGAG